GAUGAACGCUGGCGGCGUGCCUAAUACAUGCAAGUCGAGCGAACAGACGAGGAGCUUGCUCCUCUGACGUUAGCGGCGGACGGGUGAGUAACACGUGGAUAACCUACCUAUAAGACUGGGAUAACUUCGGGAAACCGGAGCUAAUACCGGAUAAUAUAUUGAACCGCAUGGUUCAAUAGUGAAAGACGGUUUUGCUGUCACUUAUAGAUGGAUCCGCGCCGCAUUAGCUAGUUGGUAAGGUAACGGCUUACCAAGGCAACGAUGCGUAGCCGACCUGAGAGGGGGAUCGGCCACACUGGAACUGAGACACGGUCCAGACUCCUACGGGAGGCAGCAGUGGGGAAUCUUCCGCAAUGGGCGAAAGCCUGACGAAGCAACGCCGCGUGAGUGAUGAAGGUCUUCGGUUCGUAAAACUCUGUUAUUGGGGAAGAACAAAUGUGUAAGUAACUAUGCACGUCUUGACGGUACCUAAGCAGAAGGCCACGGCUAACUACGU
Molecule: ribosomal RNA, 496 nt
Filed under: uncultured bacterium
Lineage: Bacteria
Description: partial 16S ribosomal RNA
Rfam family: Bacterial small subunit ribosomal RNA
Source: RNAcentral